AGUGUAGGUGGCAAUGUAAGUUAAAUGUGAAAUCCUGGGGCUUAACCCCAGAACUGCAUUUAAUACUGCGUUGCUAGAGUGCGGAAGAGGCAAGUGGAAUGGUAAGUGUAGCGGUAGAAUGCGUUGAUAUUUACUGGAACACCAGAGGCGAAGGCGACUUGCUGGGACGUAACUGACACUGAGACUCGAAAGCGUGGGGAGCAAACAGGAUUAGAUACCCUGGUAGUCCACGCCCUAAACGAUGGAUACUAGACGAAGGGGGUAUCGAUCCCCCCUGUGUCGAAGCUAACGCAUUAAGUAUCCCGCCUGGGGAGUACGGUCGCAAGAUUAAA
This 332-nucleotide ribosomal RNA is filed under the name uncultured bacterium. RNAcentral describes it as "bacterial SSU rRNA". It matches the Rfam family "Bacterial small subunit ribosomal RNA", at positions 568 to 898 of the family's 1533-position model. The record is from RNAcentral.